CCUAGAGUUGUAGGCUUUGCCUGCUAUCUCUUACCCAUGUCUUUUGAGUACCUUACGUUUCCUCGGUGGGUUCGCCCACCGAUUGGACAAACUUAAACCCUUUGCAGUUGAAAUCAGCGUCUGAAAAAAACUUAAUAGUUA
This 141-nucleotide unclassified non-coding RNA is filed under the name soil metagenome. Its description in RNAcentral is "partial internal transcribed spacer 1". The record is from RNAcentral.